CUUGCAAAGGAACAACCUCCACCCACUAGGCUCACGACCCUGAUUGACUCGAGAGAAAAAAAAAAACGCACGAACUCCUCUGUUCUCCUCUCUCUUCCUCGCAGCCUCUGCUUCGUCCUCCACAAUGGCGGUUUUGGGUUUCCAAUUGUGAUGAUGCCUCCGCCCUGCAUCGUCCAUGGCAGCCAGGAUGUGGCAGAGACGGCCGGAAACAAGCUCCCCUCGUCCAUGGAGGGAUAGAUGUGACGGGUAUGGACAGAGCCGAGCUUCCCAUGUUCCGUGGCGGAUGGUAGGCGGCAUAUAGGGCUCGGCUGAAUACGAGCGCGACGCCGGAGUGCUGGAUUCGCCCAGAUCAAGCCGAGAAUAGGUGGGGGAGGUCUCCGGUGACGCCAGAGGUCACCACAGGACUCCUCCCACCUCUUCGUCCGCGGAAGGGAGCACCUCCACGACUACUGAGAACCCCAGCGAGUUACAUAACUAUCAAAUGUCAACUGUCACGGAAUAAAGACUCAUGUAGAACAAGUAUGUUCCGCCACCGGCUCACGUAAUUGUGUCCCUUGAUGCCCUGGUCACUGUUGGACGUGACGCCUAGGAACUACGACAUCGGACGCGAACCCAGUUCGCCUUUGGCCAUUCAUACUAACUACAACAGCUAGAGUGGUGGAGGAGGAUGAGGACUUCAAGGAGUUUGAAGUGGAUUAUGAUGUCUGAUUUAGAGUUUGGGAUGAUGAGGAGUCGACGACUAGGAGAGUAUUUCACCAUCGAUGGGUUUCUUCUCCUAUUGCAAGGUGAUACAUGCAUCGAGUUGCACACGGUCAUGUGUUCAUUUGGGGCGCUCACUGCUUUGUUUUUCUUGGGUUGCAAGCCAUUCUAGCCGCACCAGAUUCCUUGUCCCCCAUUCCGUGGUGGUUAGCGACUGCGAUGGAAACUGAUAAGCUUGAAACAACAACUGUUGUUCAGCGGAUUGUCGAGCUUCUUCCAACCGGUACAAAAAAGUUCCGCGACUGCCAGAACAACCACCGCGACACCUCGUGCUGCUAAAGAAGCUGGCGGGCGCCAUCCUCCGGUCCGCCCACGCCUUCGAGCGCGAGUUCUAGGUAGAGCAAGAGAUCAAGCAAAUUGUUCUUGGCUACUUAGAAAGUCCUACGUAACAAAAAUUACGGGUUCACGAGAGUUGGGAAGCUCAGUUUUCAAACUGUGAUUAAGUUGGCAUCCCACAGUUUCAAGUCAAUCUGCGAUUCGCGUAAGUGGUUCUUCUAUUGAUUGGUUCCCUAGGAGAAAGAUUGAAUCAUACUUCAAGAGAAAGAUAUAGCAACUUUGGGUACCUGAUCCAGUGUGCAAAAUGUCUCAUUAUUCUUUGGUGAUAUUUCUCUAGAGUGUACUGCAUUUGAGACAAAGUUUUGGUACUUGGAUACAUUUGAUACGUGGUAAAACUGAUGAGGAAAUUUGUGCUUUGUUUCGUUGUGGGGACUUUCGCCGAAGCAUUUCCAUUUUAGGAUGGAGUUGUUUUCGGUGGCAUUAUAAAGCCUGAACAUGUGCUACUUCUAUUUUGAAUGGGAGACACAUCUGGGCAGUACUAGGGAUGGACGUAGGAUAGUGAGGUAUGUGUGAGGGAAUGGUAUGUAUUUGUUGGAACUGAGUAAAGAACAUAUGAAUUCUUUUGAGAUACAUCUGGUUCAUUUGAAUGAUAACUUAAUGAAGGUUGUAUGAGGGAUGGGGGUCGUACUAACCUUGGAAGUGGGAUGCACUGUUGCAAGGGAUAAGGAGGAACUAAUGGCUUUCCAAAAUGUUAAAAUGUUCUCUCAAGUAAUAUCCUUGGGUCUAGAGGCUGCAUCCCACCUGCCUGAUAAUGACCUGUUACAUGAAUCUACUGUUUUAGACUUAUGUUUUUUCAGAUUUAUGGUUAAAUAGUUUUUAUUUUCCAUGUAAUGCAGAUAUACCAUGGCAUAUACGAUUUACAUUCUGUCAGUUACAUGAUAUACAUCUUUUUGUGCAUAUAAGCAUGAAACGGGCCGAAAUAGUAGCGAAUCCAAUUAGAAAUCAGCGCGGACAAACAACCGAUGCGCCAGAAAGGUAGUCCAGCUUCUUAUAGUUGUGUAUUGUUUCAGUUUUUAUUUAUACUAAUUGUUUUUGGUACUUACUUCGUGAUGAUUUGUAAUUUCUUCCCCUGAAAACUUCUACUAUUCAUCUCAGUAUUAUAGAUCAUCAAAAAUAUGGCUUAAAUUGUGCAUUAUCAAAAUUAUGGCUGUUGUUCUAAGUUCUAACUACUAACUUAGAAAUACCUAAUCAUGUCAAUACCGACGAAAGAAAAAAAUAUAUACAAAUACAUGUGAGCAGUUAAUUAGUAUGUUUAUCCAACUUAUGAAAUAUAUUCACGUAUAUUAAUCAUAAUCAAUUGUGCCUCGAGACCUACUAAUAUCUUCAUUUGAACUAACCUUGCAGAAGUGUUGUUGCUCAAAUUAAAUUUAUAUACCAUUUGUCUCAUUGUCAAAUGGUAGUUUGUUCAGUUAAAUUUCUCUUUUGGCAUAAAUUCAAGAACUUGCUUGUUGUGUGGCUCCAGGAGGAAAGCAUGUGAUUAUGGGUAAUUAAGGCACAUAUGAUCCGACUGUACUGUGUUUCUCUGUCUAGCAUAUUUCACGUUUUCCCAAUAUGAUUUUUUUCUGUCUUUGCGCUUGAGACUGCAACUUUGCUUUCAUAAUCAAAAUGGUAUGCAUUUUUCAGGUUCAUCUGUUAUAGACACCGGUUCUGCUUCGCAGUCUUAAGAUUUUGAUUAUCGAGCCAUAUGAUGGGUCUUGCUAUGUUAUUUUCUGAAAGGAAAGGCUUACUAUGUUUUGGCACCCCUGCCUUGUAAGGCAUGCCCUUUAAUUUUCUGAAAAGAAAGGGUCACCAUGAUAUUAUUAGCCUUAUGUAGGUAGCAAUGCUACUAUUCAGCAAUAUAUUCUUGUGCAAUGCUUAUCUGCAAUGUAACUUUCUGAUCUGCUUUGUCUGGUCAGCGAAGAAGGAAACCAGCAAGAUCAAAGUCACCGGGCACUCCUCUACACGCAUCCUGUAGACAACAUGAUAGUCAGACAUCGCAUGAAAACUUCCCUCGGCACUCUCACUCGCUUUUUUUCUAUUAUCUCGUAGCAGUGCACGGGUACUGAACUAAGAGCCAAUGGUUAAGCUUAAUUGAUAAUGUGUGUUUGAUGUUUCAGGUUGUGGUUUAUGAUAAAAUAGAUUUCAUACUUCUAUUCGAAAGAGAUUAGAGUUCAGAGUAACGGAUAAGUUACAAAAUAAGAGUAUAUUAUUCCCUCGGGAGUUUGAAGUUAGACAUUAAAGAUGCGCAUUAUUUCAUUUUAUGUAGUGAACUUUUGUACACAUUAAUGUACCUAAAUGUAUUUUUUAAAUGCAGAAAAUCUUUUGUGUUUUUCAAAAA
Lolium perenne is the source of this 3412-nucleotide non-coding RNA. The record is from RefSeq and is a predicted model, not a curated record. NCBI's taxonomy places the organism in Eukaryota, Viridiplantae, Streptophyta, Magnoliopsida, Poales, Poaceae.